AAGGGAAAGGGAAGAGAUUGAGAAGAAAUAACUUUAAAGGUUCUCCUAACGAUCCUCAAUAGGAUUUUCGGGUCUUUCGUCUGACGUUCCUUUAGUUCUAUAUUUUCCGGGUUCUUAGUUUCUGAUAGCAGUUGGACUUUGUUGAGUGUUCCUACUUCUUCAGUUUUGGGUUCUCCUAACGAUCCUCAAUAGGAUUUUCGGGUCUUUCGUCUGACGUUCCUUUAGUUCUAUAUUUUCCGGGUUCUUAGUUUCUGAUAGCAGUUGGACUUUGUUGAGUGUUCCUACUUCUUCAGUUUUGGGUCGGUAUGCCUUGCUUAUUGUUCAAGGUUGUUUUGAUUCGAAGUCUUAGACGCUCCACUAUUACUCUGUUUUAAUUAAGUUUGGAUUUUGACAAUGUAAUGAGUAUUAUGAAUUAUUAUUUUGUUUUAAUUACUGAUGAAGAGUUUUGACUAUCCUUUGAUUUCAUCAGCUUUGAGUAAUAUAAUAUUUCUGAAGAUUAUGAAAUGCUGCGUAUUUUUGAAUAUCUAUUAUUUUGAUAUGUAUGUUUUGAGGCUUAGCGUAGGUGGGGUGUCCUUUCGACACUCCUCCUGCGUUGCCGGUCAUGGACCCGGGAUUCGGGUCGUGACAUAUUCAGACAU
Populus euphratica (Euphrates poplar) is the source of this 638-nucleotide long non-coding RNA. RefSeq lists it as uncharacterized. The record is from RefSeq and is a predicted model, not a curated record. The transcript has 5 exons. NCBI's taxonomy places the organism in Eukaryota, Viridiplantae, Streptophyta, Magnoliopsida, Malpighiales, Salicaceae.